GAAGAAGCCGUUUUGGUAUCAAUCGCCGAUAUGAAACUGGAUUUGUUGUUCGUUAUCUGCUUGCUGGGCGCUUUGUCAGUGGGAUACGCCGGUGAAGAUAAAUACGUCAAGAUUUAUGUACCGUAUAAAGUGAAGACCAUAAAGCAUACCCAUACCGUGUACAAGACGAUACAUCACAAGGGACAUGAUUCCGGUGGGCAUGGUGGCGUAUCCGACUGGG
This is a long non-coding RNA of Photinus pyralis (common eastern firefly), 220 nucleotides long. RefSeq lists it as uncharacterized. Lineage: Eukaryota; Metazoa; Arthropoda; Insecta; Coleoptera; Lampyridae. The transcript has 3 exons. The record is from RefSeq and is a predicted model, not a curated record.